UCUGUGGACAGUUGACAUGGUUAUUGGAUUGGGAGCUGCAGGAAGUGCCCAACAUGGGAAGAAAAACCCUUUAGAAUGAAAGGGCUGUCCACACAAGUUCUCUUGCUCUCCCAAUCCCAGGUUGGGCUCAGCAAACAACUUUCCAGCUGUUGGUUCUGUAAGGGUUUCAGUGAGCAAGACGCACUGUGGUCCAGGAAAAUCGAGCACCAGGGGCCUCUGGGCUGCAGGCCAAGGAACACUCGUUUGACUUUUAGAGACUGAGGCUGUCUGAGACCAUUUACCAGCUAUCACUGAACAGUGCCCUAAGCCUUGGGUGUCAUGGAGGGAACAGAUAUGGCCCCUGGCCUUAGAUUACCUACAACAUGGUGUGGGAGAUGGGGCACUUAUGAAGAAUGUGUUGUGAGAUGUAAUUUUUCAGAAUGAGGAGAAAUCCUUCCCACUAAGGGAUUAAGGCCCAGGAGUUGCUGUGAUUCAGGCCAUGUGAAUUGUUCCCCCACCUGCACACCCUGGGCAUCAAGGAGAAGGCAAUAUCUUUGCUCACAAAGCAUUUUGCAGGCCUGGGAAAUGGAGCUUGGAUUGUAAGGGGUCCGAACUACUUUAGCGCUGCAGUGGAAAUAGCCUCCGCAUGAGGGAGGAGAAGAAUCAAGCGGGGAAUGUGCCAGCUGAGGACUGGAAACCGCAGUCAGAAGAAUGGAUCUGCAUUUUCCACUCCUGGCAGAGAACAGGCCUCAGUCAGGAAUACAACCAGACGGCUGGGCCUGGGAGUCUCCGAAGCAAACCUGGAACUGAGUAUAUACACCCUCACACCAGCAGGUACCUUCCAAAAUGCUGCAGACUCCCCAGAC
RNAcentral lists this long non-coding RNA (845 nucleotides) under Homo sapiens (human). Its description in RNAcentral is "HSALNT0310584". Lineage: Eukaryota; Metazoa; Chordata; Mammalia; Primates; Hominidae. The record is from RNAcentral.